Molecule: ribosomal RNA, 253 nt
Filed under: uncultured bacterium
Lineage: Bacteria
Description: partial 16S ribosomal RNA
Rfam family: Bacterial small subunit ribosomal RNA
Source: RNAcentral
UACGUAGGGUGCGAGCGUUAAUCGGAAUUACUGGGCGUAAAGCGUGCGCAGGCGGUUUUGUAAGCCAGAUGUGAAAGCCCCGGGCUUAACCUGGGAAUGGCAUUUGGGACUGCAAGGCUUGAGUGCGGCAGAGGAGACUGGAAUUCCUGGUGUAGCAGUGAAAUGCGUAGAUAUCGGGAGGAACACCUGUGGCGAAGGCGGCCAUCUGGACGACAAUUGACGCUGAGACGCGAAAGCGUGGGUAGCAAACAGG